RNAcentral lists this small RNA (776 nucleotides) under Pan troglodytes (chimpanzee). Its description in RNAcentral is "retained intron". The record is from RNAcentral. Lineage: Eukaryota; Metazoa; Chordata; Mammalia; Primates; Hominidae.
CUGAGUGCCUGCAUGGCUUUGAAAUCUCCUCCCUGUCCAAAGCUCACGGUCCUAUGGUGUCCUGGGGAACGGUCUUGUUGGGUGGCAUCAGAUCAGCCUCUUGUAGAGGAAACCUGCCACACACACAGGCCAGUGGGAAACUAGGAAGGGUCGCAGGCCGGACGGUGCUUCCAGGGCUUGAGCUAACCCUGAGCCCCUCAUCUUCCCUGGCCACAGGCCCGGUGGUUCCCUAGAACCCCAGCCAGGUCCGUGGUGGCCCUGAAGACCCCCAUCAAGGUGGAGCUGGUGGCAGGGAAAACCUACAGGUGGUGUGUGUGUGGCCGCAGCAAGAAGCAGCCCUUCUGUGACGGCUCCCACUUCUUCCAACGCACUGGCCUAUCUCCACUCAAGUUCAAGGCCCAAGAGACCCGCAUGGUGGCACUCUGUACCUGCAAGGCCACUCAGAGGCCCCCGUACUGCGAUGGCACCCACAGGAGUGAGCGCGUGCAGAAGGCAGAAGUGGGCUCCCCACUCUGAGGGGGCUGCUGCUGUCCAGCCACAGGUGGCCUUGGCUCCAGGCCUCUGACAGGCACCCCCUUCUGUGGGAAAGGAAACAGGUGCUGAGCCCAAGAGAUUCUGGUACCCACUGCUGGCUCAUGAAGGAAGAAUUAUUCCUUAUAACCUAAAAGUCUCCAGUCUGGGGCAGGCGGGAGUGGGCCCUGGUUCAAUGUUUGCUGAUGGGGAAGACGGCAAAAACAAGCCUGCCCAACCAGACUGGUAGUCCUGCAGUCACUGCU